Molecule: ribosomal RNA, 486 nt
Filed under: Selkirkiella luisi
Lineage: Eukaryota; Metazoa; Arthropoda; Arachnida; Araneae; Theridiidae
Description: partial 16S ribosomal RNA
Rfam family: Bacterial large subunit ribosomal RNA
Source: RNAcentral
CGCCUGUUUAACAAAAACAUUUCUUAUAGAUUAUAAUUAUAAGUAAAACCUGCUCAAUGAAUUUUAAAUAGCCGCAGAAUAUUUACUGUGCUAAGGUAGCAUAAUCAUUUGUUUUUUAAUUAAAAACUAGAAUGAAAGGUUUAACAUUUUAAUUUCUUUCUUAAAAAUUUAUAUUUAAAUUAUAUUAAAUAUAAAAAUAUAUUUAUUUUUAAAAAAGACGACAAGACCCUAUUGAACUUUACUUUUGUUAAGCUGGGGCAGCUAAUUAAUUAUAAUUUUAAUUUUAAUAUUCAAAAAAUGAUCCAAUAAAUUUGAUUACUUGAUUAAGUUACCAUAGGGAUAACAGCGUAAUUUUUUUUUUAAGUUCUUAUUUAAAAUAAAGUUUGCGACCUCGAUGUUGAAUUAAUAUUCUAUGUUACGCAAUAGUAACAAAUAGUAGGUCUGUUCGACCUUUAAUAUAUUACAUGAUCUGAGUUCAAACCGGAG